RNAcentral lists this ribosomal RNA (495 nucleotides) under uncultured bacterium. Its description in RNAcentral is "partial 16S ribosomal RNA". It matches the Rfam family "Bacterial small subunit ribosomal RNA", at positions 28 to 507 of the family's 1533-position model. The record is from RNAcentral.
GAUGAACGCUGGCGGCGUGCCUAAUACAUGCAAGUAGAACGCUGAAGGAGGAGCUUGCUCUUCUGGAUGAGUUGCGAACGGGUGAGUAACGCGUAGGUAACCUGCCUGGUAGCGGGGGAUAACUAUUGGAAACGAUAGCUAAUACCGCAUGACAACAGUUAUUGCAUGAUAACUGUUUAAAAGGGGCAACUGCUCCACUACCAGAUGGACCUGCGUUGUAUUAGCUAGUUGGUGAGGUAACGGCUCACCAAGGCGACGAUACAUAGCCGACCUGAGAGGGUGAUCGGCCACACUGGGACUGAGACACGGCCCAGACUCCUACGGGAGGCAGCAGUAGGGAAUCUUCGGCAAUGGACGGAAGUCUGACCGAGCAACGCCGCGUGAGUGAAGAAGGUUUUCGGAUCGUAAAGCUCUGUUGUAAGAGAAGAACGAGUGUGAGAGUGGAAAGUUCACACUGUGACGGUAGCUUAACAGAAAGGGACGGCUAACUACGUG